This 465-nucleotide ribosomal RNA is filed under the name uncultured bacterium. RNAcentral describes it as "partial 16S ribosomal RNA". It matches the Rfam family "Bacterial small subunit ribosomal RNA", at positions 338 to 795 of the family's 1533-position model. The record is from RNAcentral.
CCUACGGGUGGCAGCAGUGGGGAAUAUUGCGCAAUGGGCGAAAGCCUGACGCAGCGACGCCGCGUGAGGGAUGAAGGUCUUCGGAUCGUAAACCUCUGUCAGCAGGGAAGAACGGUCACUGUGCUAAUCAGCAGUGAAUUGACGGUACCUGCAAAGGAAGCACCGGCUAACUCCGUGCCAGCAGCCGCAGUAAUACGGAGGGUGCGAGCGUUAAUCGGAAUUACUGGGCGUAAAGCGCCCGUAGGCGGGAUGUCAAGGCGAGGGGGAAAGCCUCGGGUUCAACGUGGGAACUGCCUUUGAAACUGGCAAACUGGAGUGUGGAAGAGGAUAGUGGAAUUCCAGGUGUAGGAGUGAAAUCCGUAGAUAUCUGGAGGAACAUCAGUGGCGAAGGCGACUAUCUGGCACAUAACUGACGCUGAGGAGCGAAAGCGUGGGUAGCAAACAGGAUUAGAUACCCUGGUAGUC